UUUAAUUUUUUUUAAUGUAUAAGAAAAACAAAUCUAAAAAAACUAAAAACUAAAUAAAAUUAUCUGAAAAUGGAAUUAUGCAAAUUUAUAAAACUUGAGGUAUGAAAUAUAUAAAAUUUGAAAACUAACUUAUCAAAAGAAUUGAACUUCUAAAUAAAUAUGAAGGGUCAAAAUGUCAAUUUAAAAAUGAAUUACAUAAAAAAAACUCAAAUGUAAUGGAAAAGAAUCGAAGUUGAGUGCAUAGGAAGGAGAUACAAUUUCUUACCAAUUGAACUACAAAUGUCUUUUAAAUAAGCUAUAUCCAAAUAAUCUUUUAUUUGUGCAAGAAAAAAAAGACAUGAAAAUUUGAGGGUGGGCCUUGGCCAACUCUGGCCCUAAGGUGGCUCCGCCAAUGAACGCAACAGCUAUCAACACAGGAGGAGAUGGGAAGGAUUCAAUGGUUUUUCUGCUGUGAAUUUGACAGGAAGGAAGAAUCCAUUUGUUCUUGGCUGGGAAUGAAGAUGCAAGCAAUACAAAGGAUCGACCAAUUUUUACUACAAAGGGUUUAAUUGUUGUUUGAUUGUUUGUGAAUUAAUAGUUGAUGAGUAAAAGCAAUACCACACAGUGUUUUCCACAUACCUGUGUGUGAGCUGUAGUCAGGUGAAAGAAAGACGUGGGGAGAAAAGAAAAUAGUCAAGUGCAAGAAUUCAUUUCCUUUUUUAGUGUUUCUUUGUAUAAAAUGAAACUUGGAAGAAAUCAUUAUCUUGGCUGUCAAA
Molecule: non-coding RNA, 755 nt
Organism: Lactuca sativa (garden lettuce)
Lineage: Eukaryota; Viridiplantae; Streptophyta; Magnoliopsida; Asterales; Asteraceae
Source: RefSeq, a predicted model, not a curated record